CCACCCGGUAAGCCUGAAUACUUCCCAGUGACCGAUAGCGGAUUAGUACCGUGAGGGAAUGGUGAAAAGUACCCCGGGAGGGGAGUGAAAUAGUACCUGAAACCGUGUGCCUACAAGCCGUCAGAGCCUUCGACUUUGUUGUGGGGUGAUGGCGUGCCUUUUGAAGAAUGAGCCUGCGAGUCAGGGACAUGUCGCGAGGUUAACCCGAGUGGGGUAGCCGUAGCGAAAGCGAGUCUGAAUAGGGCGUAUCCACACAACAGUGUGUGGUGUAGUGGUGUGUUCUGGACCCGAAGCGGAGUGAUCUACCCAUGGCCAGGGUGAAGCGCGGGUAAGACCGCGUGGAGGCCCGAACCCACUUAGGUUGAAGACUGAGGGGAUGAGCUGUGGGUAGGGGUGAAAGGCCAAUCAAACUCCGUGAUAGCUGGUUCUCC
RNAcentral lists this ribosomal RNA (431 nucleotides) under uncultured bacterium. RNAcentral describes it as "bacterial LSU rRNA". It matches the Rfam family "Bacterial large subunit ribosomal RNA", at positions 453 to 858 of the family's 2925-position model. The record is from RNAcentral.